This 277-nucleotide ribosomal RNA is filed under the name uncultured bacterium. Its description in RNAcentral is "partial 16S ribosomal RNA". It matches the Rfam family "Bacterial small subunit ribosomal RNA", at positions 28 to 314 of the family's 1533-position model. The record is from RNAcentral.
GAUUAACGCUGGCGGCGUGCCUAACACAUGCAAGUCGAACGCGGUAGCAAUACCGAGUGGCAGACGGGUGAGUAACACGUGGUCAACCUUCCGUUCUGUGGGGGAUAACUAGCCGAAAGGUUAGCUAAUACCGCAUACGAUCUACAGCGGGCAUCCGCAGUAGAUGAAAGGAGCAAUUCGCAGAACGACGGGACCGCGUCCCAUUAGUUAGAUGGUGAGGUAACGGCUCACCAUGACUCCGAUGGGUAGCUGGUUUGAGAGAGCGACCAGCCACACU